Molecule: ribosomal RNA, 468 nt
Filed under: uncultured bacterium
Lineage: Bacteria
Description: partial 16S ribosomal RNA
Rfam family: Bacterial small subunit ribosomal RNA
Source: RNAcentral
GAUGAACGCUGGCGGCGUGCUUAACACAUGCAAGUCGAACGGAAAGGCCCUGCUUUUGUGGGGUGCUCGAGUGGCGAACGGGUGAGUAACACGUGAGUAACCUGCCCUUGACUUUGGGAUAACUUCAGGAAACUGGGGCUAAUACCGGAUAGGAGCUCCUGCUGCAUGGUGGGGGUUGGAAAGUUUCGGCGGUUGGGGAUGGACUCGCGGCUUAUCAGCUUGUUGGUGGGGUAGUGGCUUACCAAGGCUUUGACGGGUAGCCGGCCUGAGAGGGUGACCGGCCACAUUGGGACUGAGAUACGGCCCAGACUCCUACGGGAGGCAGCAGUGGGGAAUAUUGCACAAUGGGCGGAAGCCUGAUGCAGCGACGCCGCGUGCGGGAUGACGGCCUUCGGGUUGUAAACCGCUUUCGCCUGUGACGAAGCGUGAGUGACGGUAAUGGGUAAAGAAGCACCGGCUAACUACGUG